GACGAACGCUGGCGGCGUGCUUAACACAUGCAAGUCAAGGGGGGCUCAGGGGGCAACUCUGGGCAACCGGCGAACGGGUGCGUAACACGUGAGCAACCUGCCGAUCUCGCGGGGAUAGCCGGCCCAACGGCCGGGUAAUACCGCAUACGCUCGUUUGGGGACCUCCCUGGGCGAGGAAACCCUCCGGGGCAACCUGGGGGACGGAUCGAGGGGCUCGCGGCCUAUCAGCUAGUUGGUGCGGGGUAACGGCCCACCAAGGCGACGACGGGUAGCUGGUCUGAGAGGAUGGCCAGCCACAUUGGGACUGAGAGACGGCCCAGACUCCUACGGGAGGCAGCAGUGGGGAAUCUUGCGCAAUGGCCGAAAGGCUGACGCAGCGACGCCGCGUGUGGGAUGAAGC
RNAcentral lists this ribosomal RNA (400 nucleotides) under uncultured bacterium. RNAcentral's name for it is "bacterial SSU rRNA". It matches the Rfam family "Bacterial small subunit ribosomal RNA", at positions 28 to 414 of the family's 1533-position model. The record is from RNAcentral.